RNAcentral lists this long non-coding RNA (1184 nucleotides) under Zonotrichia albicollis (white-throated sparrow). Its description in RNAcentral is "lncRNA (ENSZALG00000005133.1)". Lineage: Eukaryota; Metazoa; Chordata; Aves; Passeriformes; Passerellidae. The record is from RNAcentral.
GACACUUCCCUCCUCCUUCUGGGGACACAGGGACACUUCUCUCCUGUGCUGGGACACCUCCCUUCUCUUUUGGGUACAAAGGGACACCUCCCUCCUGUGUUGGGGACAAGGAGACACUCCCCUCCUGCUUCUGGGGACAAGGGGACACCUCCCUCCUGUGCUGGGAACACCUCCCUCCUGCUGCUGGGGACACAGGGACAAUUCUCUCCUGCAGUUUGGGGACAAAGGGACACUUCCCUCCAGUGCUGGGGACAUAGGGACACUUCCCUCCUGUGCUGGGGACAAGGGGAUGUUGUAUUGCCCUAAGGGGACACCUCCUUCCAGUGCUGGGGACACUUCCCUCCUGCUGCUGGAGACAAGGAGACAUUUCCCUCCUGUUCUGGGGACAAGGGGACACUUCCCUCCUGCUGCUGGGGCUCUCCCGUCACACUGAUGGCCAGCCAGUGUCUGUGACACCGCAGGGGACUCAGGGACCACAGCAUGGGAGAAUCCCAUCUCCAAAUGCCCCACUGCUGCCCGGCAUGCUGGUGUGCUGCUGGAUCUGUGCCUGAAGGGUAGAUGCCUGGAAGAACCAGGAACCCUUCCCUUUCUCCCUUUCCUGGAGGUCAGACACCUGGAGAACCCAGGACUCCAUCCCUGUCUCCCGUUCCUGGGGUGCAGAUGCCUGGAGAACCCAGGACUCCAUCCCUGUCUCCCUUUCCUGGAGGUGAGAUGCCUGAAAGAGCCAGGACCCUUCCCUUUCCUGGGGUGCAGAGGCCCCAGUUUGCUCCUGCCUCUGGGUCCCUCACACCACGUGCUGAACUGGGGGUUCAGGGGUUAAAGAGCCAUUUGCAAUCAGUUUCCAAGGAUUUGAAAGAUGCCUGAAAGGAGAGGUGGUGUUUAUAAAAGGAAUGCGGUAAUGAUCCUGACCAAAUAAUCCUUUUUUAAAAAAGCAUUCAAGAAAGAUUAUAUAUAAUAGAAUAUAUUAAAUUCUGUACAUGAUCAAAUAAUGUAAACAUAAUUAAUUAACUUGUAAGGAUGUCUUUAGAGACUGUGCCUACCGUAUGCCCUGGGUGAAGGUGGCAGUGGCACACGGGGCUCCUCUGUCACAGCCUUGUGGGUCAGGAGAGGAGCAGGAGGUGCCACCAAUGGGUCCCCUGCCCUGACACUGUCCCUAAGGCUGGCUGAGACCCAGCUCUGGGGCA